UUUCGAAAGAUUUUAAAUGGCAAAAACCUUCAGAAGGGUUUUUGGAUUUGUCAAAAAAAGUGGUGAAUUAUAGUGGUGGUCUUCCAUUGGCACUUAAAGUAUUGGGUUCCUAUCUUUAUAGUAGACCUAUUGUGGUAUGGCAUAGUGCUAUUGAAAAAAUAAAGAAGUCUUCACAUUCUGAAAUUAUUGAUGUAUUAAAAAUAAGCUAUGAUGGUUUAGAUUCAAUGGAAAAGAAUAUUUUUCUGGAUAUUGCUCGUUUCUUUAAUGGACGUGGAAAAGAUUAUGUAACAAAUAUAUUAAAAGGAUGUGGUCAUGAUGCUGAAAUUGGUAUUGAUAUAUUGAUUAAUAGAUCAUUGGUGACACUAGAGUAGGAGACAUUUGGGGAGGUUACUCUGGGGAUGCAUGAUUUUCUUGAAGAAAUGGGCAAACAAAUUGUAAUUCAAGAAUCUCCAAGUGAUGCUAGUAAGCGUGGCAGAUUGUGGUGUUACUAGGAUGUUGAUUUUGUACUUAGUCAAAAGAAGGUGCGUGAAGCAACUCAUAGCAUCGUUCUAUAUAACAUGUACCAGGUCCGGGAGAUUGAAGGGAAUUGGGGAGAUUUGGAUAGAUGAGAUAUAUCUUUCUCAAAUAUAUGGCAGCUAAAGCUUCUCAUUUUAGGGUGUAUAUAUAUUUAGGGCAGAUACUAAUCGUUCUUCUGGGGGUGUCACAAAUGCAGAAAGGAUCGUGUGCAUAUGAAAUGUGCGCAUUUGUUUUUUAUGGAGAAUUCAGAAUUAUACCUAUUGAAGCUCUCCUUUAUGUCACUUUUCAUGUUGUUUCAGCUUGUCCUCAGAAAUCAGGUUAUUGAAACCAUUUUUCAUGUUGCCACAGCAUAGAGUGAUAUUUUGAAAGGAUGAUGAGACAGAUUCAGAUUCAUUACAGAGGGAAAGCAAAAAUAUGCAGGCCAUGACAUCUUUCCUUUCCAACUAUGUCAAGGUUCAGCUUUCAGAGAAAAGAAUAUACCUUGGACAAAGGCAACUAUCUGUGCCUAAAGUGAAUUAUAUCUACUAUUUUCCAAUCAAGUUCAUCUUGAAUUAUAUCAAAGGAUUUGUCAAUGCAGGUGCCUCUCUAGUUUUGAUUUUGUACCCUUAUUUAAUUUGAAAGCUUCUAUUCUUAUCGUUGUUGAAAAUGAAUUAUGGUCUUAAUAUUGGUGUAAGAAAUUUCCUUUUAUAAUUAUGGUAUGAAGGAUAAAAAAAUAAAAUU
Molecule: non-coding RNA, 1236 nt
Organism: Arachis ipaensis
Lineage: Eukaryota; Viridiplantae; Streptophyta; Magnoliopsida; Fabales; Fabaceae
Source: RefSeq, a predicted model, not a curated record